AUUGAACGCUGGCGGCAGGCCUAACACAUGCAAGUCGAACGAGUGGCGGACGGGUGAGUAAUGUCUGGGAAACUGCCUGAUGGAGGGGGAUAACUACUGGAAACGGUAGCUAAUACCGCAUACCAUCAGAUGUGCCCAGAUGGGAUUAGCUAGUGGGUGGGGUAACGGCUCACCUAGGCGAAGAUCCCUAGCUGGUCUGAGAGGAGGACCAGCCACACUGGAACUGAGACACGUUCCAGACUCCUACGGGAGGCAGCAGUGGGGAAUAUUGCACAAUGGGCGCAAGCCUGAUGCAGCCAUGCGGCGUGUGUGAAGAAGGCCGUCGUGUUAUAAAGCACUUUCAGCGGGGAGGCGUUACCCGCAGAAGAAGCACCGGCUAACUCCGUGCCAGCCGCCGCGGUAAUAC
This 406-nucleotide ribosomal RNA is filed under the name uncultured bacterium. RNAcentral describes it as "partial 16S ribosomal RNA". It matches the Rfam family "Bacterial small subunit ribosomal RNA", at positions 30 to 526 of the family's 1533-position model. The record is from RNAcentral.